Podarcis lilfordi (Lilford's wall lizard) is the source of this 72-nucleotide non-coding RNA. The record is from the annotation of a GenBank genome assembly. Lineage: Eukaryota; Metazoa; Chordata; Lepidosauria; Squamata; Lacertidae.
GCAUCAUAGCUCAGUGGUAGAGCAUCUACUCUGUAUUCAGAAGGUCUCAGGUUCCAUCCCCGGCAUCUCUCA